CCUUGUGAUGAAAUGCUUGUCCAGUUCUGCUACUGAAGGAAUGAGAUGAAGGCUUCAGGGCUGAAGAAG
Small nucleolar RNA from Acomys russatus (golden spiny mouse), 69 nucleotides. The record is from RefSeq and is a predicted model, not a curated record. Lineage: Eukaryota; Metazoa; Chordata; Mammalia; Rodentia; Muridae.